This 391-nucleotide ribosomal RNA is filed under the name uncultured bacterium. Its description in RNAcentral is "bacterial SSU rRNA". It matches the Rfam family "Bacterial small subunit ribosomal RNA", at positions 28 to 419 of the family's 1533-position model. The record is from RNAcentral.
GAUGAACGCUAGCGGGAGGCCUAACACAUGCAAGCCGAGCGGUAGAGAUUCUUCGGAAUCUUGAGAGCGGCGUACGGGUGCGGAACACGUGUGCAACCUACCUUUAUCUGGAGGAUAGCCUUUCGAAAGGAAGAUUAAUACUCCAUAAUAUAUUGAUUGGCAUCAAUUGAUAUUGAAAGCUCCGGCGGAUAGAGAUGGGCACGCGCAAGAUUAGUUAGUUGGUGAGGUAACGGCUCACCAAGACGAUGAUCUUUAGGGGCCUGAGAGGGUGAUCCCCCACACUGGUACUGAGACACGGACCAGACUCCUACGGGAGGCAGCAGUGAGGAAUAUUGGGUCAACGGGUGCAAGCCUGAACCAGCCAAUCCCCGCGUGAAGGACGACUGCCCUA